Myotis brandtii (Brandt's bat) is the source of this 75-nucleotide non-coding RNA. The record is from Rfam. NCBI's taxonomy places the organism in Eukaryota, Metazoa, Chordata, Mammalia, Chiroptera, Vespertilionidae.
UGCAGUUCUCAGGUGAUGCACCCGGAACCAGAGAGGAGGGAGCCUGAUUCCGGGGUGCGUCACCUGAGAACCGCC